This is a long non-coding RNA of Cuculus canorus (common cuckoo), 1121 nucleotides long. RefSeq lists it as uncharacterized. The record is from RefSeq and is a predicted model, not a curated record. NCBI's taxonomy places the organism in Eukaryota, Metazoa, Chordata, Aves, Cuculiformes, Cuculidae. The transcript has 7 exons.
CCCGCAGCUCCUCGGGGCGGACGCCGCAGCGCGUCCCGCCGGACGAUCGCCACGGAGAGCGCCGCGCCGGUCCGUAGCCCCUGCGGACACGGGAGAUCCCGGGGAAGCGAUCGGCCGCCGCUGGAAGAGAUGCGGCUUCUGAUUUCUGUUUGCUGGAGGAGAAGUUAGGUCCCGUCUGGAGCCUGUGCCCGCGUCGCUGCCUGAGGUGUUCCCCGCGGGUUUAUCGGAAGGCAACCAGGGUGCUGUGGGAAAUCAUCCGUCUGCCCUGGCACCCAUCGGGAUUGGGGCUGGUUGUGCUUUUGCUCUGUCUCCUCCUGGCUCUGCUCUUCCAAGUUUUCUUCUGUACAGAACAGAUGUCCAUGGAAGUCGAGAUCUUCUGGAGGGAGUGCCAGGAGAAAGCCUCCCUUCCCCCCAGCCCCAGCAGGUGCUCCAUCGCAGUCCUCCCAUCCCUCCCGUGACACCACAGCUGGGGCCAGGGCUGCAGGUGGGACCUGGGCUUUGCUCUGCACACAGAUUUGCGGUGCAGAGAGUGAAAGCCGUGCUCUGCUGUUUUCACUAUGAAGAGGUGGUGUUUGAAGUCGAACGUAAUCUUGGCUGGGACACUCUCCUCAGUGCUGAGACGCAGGUCAAGACAGUGGCUCUGCUGGCCGGGCCUCCCGGGAAACCCUGCUUCAAGCCACCAAGUUCCUGAAGAUAAAGAAGCUCAAGAAGCUGCUGGAGGGCAGGCAGACAUGGGUGUUUUUUUGAGUACCUGCCAGGUUGCUCAGAGCUCCAUCCUACCUGACCUGGAAUAGUUCCAGCAAUGAGCCCCCUUUCAGUACUGAAAGGCUGUAAUAAAGUCCCCUUCGAAGCCUUCUCUUCCCCAGGCUGAACAACCCCAACUCUCUCAGUCUCUCUUCCUGGGGGAGCUGCUCCAGCCCUUUACUCAUUUUUGUGGCCUUCUCUGGACCGGCUCCAACAGCUCCCAGUCCAAGUUGAUCGCAUCCUAGACUAAGAGUCUUGUGUUUUUCCCUAAAAAUUUCAGGUAAAUGGAGAACAUGAACGGCAGCCCUGGGGUAAAGCACGGCAGAGCACAGCAGAGGUUUUGUGGUGUAAGCAACCAGUGUGGAAGCGCACAUUUG